CCAAGCCUGUUGAGGCAAAUAGUGAAACACCUGGUGAGACUCGGUGCCUGGAUCCGCUCUGUGAGCAAACAGGGAAAGCUCUAAGCAAAUAAGACAGCUGUGGGAAAUGAGAGUGAGGAGAGGAAUCGAAGAGCAGCAGCACUUCUGGACGAGCAAGUUAGGGAGCUGCUGACCUUCACCAUGUGCUUUUACGUGACGUGUCCAUGAGUGUCUUCUAAUGUGAAGGGCAGGGAAUGAACAGAAGGAAAACUGUCUGAGGGAGAGCGUAGAGGAAUGUGGUGAAAGGCAGGGAGCCAACAGCUGGCACAGGUGAGCAGCACAGUGCACAGGGAGCUUGGGUUUGACACCUCGAUGAAAGACAACCAGUGAAGGUCAUACCCAGCCAGAACUCAUCCUCCAAGUUUCCAAAGCCAACCCGGUAAUCUGCCCAUUUUCGGAAGAAAUCAGUCAGCCCGUUCUGCCGCCGCUGGAAGACCUGAGGUGGAGGAAGACCACGGGGAAAAUCAGUGUGAUGGAGUGACUUCUUGAAGACAAGUCCUUGUUCUCAGCAAAGUGUCCUGAUGCGUUGCCAGAGUAAAUUGAAUCCCAGAUCUUGAUGCUUCACUCAGGGGUGUGUGCAUGGAUUGCAUUGCCUUGGUGAUAGUUCCUGGGUGCUUCUGUCUCAUUGAUAUUGGGCUCCAUGUGGCAGAUUCCUGAGCCCUUGAAGGUCCUGGGAGGGCAGAGAGUCAACAUGGAGGAACCUGAUGUCCUGCCACACUGAAGAGCUUCAAGCUGAAUAAGUGAGCUUUUUUUGUCUCUAUUUGGCACCCAGAAAGAUCUUUGGUGGAGGUGCAUGACUUGGAGGUGCCUGAUUUGGAGGUGCAUUACUUGGAGGUGCAUCACUUGUGGAUAAGCAGCACCCAAAUCCAGACCCACGCAGGGGAAAAUGAGCUACAUCCCAAGGAAAACCUUCUCUCCAGUGUUGACAACGUGUUAAAUAACGUGGGGCCAAGGACAGAUCCAAGCAUUUAGAACUGAGGAACAUCUCUAGAAAUGUUCCUGCUUCGGUGCCAGCUCCUGGUUUGUCCUUAAGCUGAGGGAUCAACUUGUAAAGCUGUUGAUGUCUUGGCUGUGGGGAGAGAGGAGAAAAUGCAGCUGCUCUGGUGAGUCUUCAUAACUAGCUGGGUGUGGGCUAUGGUGGGUGUCUAACAAACUCCCUCAGAUAAAAGGUUUUUAGGUAAAUUCAUACCAGGGAUCUACCGGGAGACACUUUCAGAUGUUUCUGCUUUCUUUUGCAGAGAAUUGGGCCCUUCCCUCCUCCAGAGCCCCCAGCACUCAACCUUUGAACAUCGUGGACUGAAGCCUGGCUGAUGGAUGCUUGGAGCCCAGCAGGACUUAAACACUGCAUGGAUGGAUGGGGCCAAGCCUGGCCAUUGCUCCUGUGCCAUGGCAGUGCUGAUGCCUGCUGGGCAGCCUGUUUUAUCACUUGCAUGAUCACAAGGUGGGUGAGAAAGCCCACUCUGGUUCUGUAAUUCAGAAUAUACUGUAUAUCUAUAUACAUCUAGUAUAGUGAAUAUAAGAGAAAAUGACUAUAUAAUAAGGGUGUGCUGAAUGCUGCAUGCCAGGGUCAGAAGUUCUGUGGGAGAAUCUGUGUGGGCAGGGGUGAGAAGGACCAGGGAGGGUUGGAAAAAGACAUGUGGGGGAAUUUGGAACAGUGGGGUAAGGUCUGAGGGCAAAACAGCAACGGAGGAGGGAGGGCAGCUGGGAAGCACAGUGUUUAGGUAGGAGCUGGGUGUCCAGGACCAGGUCACGCUUAUCCAAACCCUGAAUCUCAAACUACUUCACGUUGUCCAGUCAUCCAGGUGAUGCACAUCUACUUAGCUGUGUGGCAUAAAACCAUGGCUUUUCUGCUUGCUCCCGGCACUAGGUGUUGAGGCAGAACAAGGAUGAUGAGGAUUAAGCUGUGGGGGUGCUGCAGAGGAAGGCAGACAUGCCAGCACAGGGAUGCCUUCAGGGAGCAGAAAGCUGGGAGCCACCACGCCACCUGUGCUCCCUGCAAAGGUCAACCUCGGAGUUCGAAGUACCAGCCUCUGUAUUUUGUGCUGACAUCCAUGGGAAAGGAAGAUUUGGGCUUGACCAGGAGAUGUCUCUGUUAAGCCACGUCGAGCUGAGUGUGCACGCAAAGCGGGAGGAGAGGACUGAGCCGAGGAAGCUCAGACCUGCAGCAAACCACUGCUGGUGGAGGGACCCUCCCUUCGCUCUCACCACUGCCUCAAAUUAGCAGCCUGAAGAGCAUCACCUUGUUACAGCCCUCCAGCAGCUAUUUAAGUGCUUUUUCUGUUUGGAACAGCUUGGGUGGAGGUAGUAGACGUCUGCCUGACUGCCAAGGCAGACUGCAGCAGGUCUGGCGUGGAGAGCCCCUUCUCCCAGUGAGCUCUGCCCACUGCUGCAUCUCCUUCGGCGAGGAGAAGACACAGUUUUCUCUGGUCUACAGGAUGGACCAGGGACUGGGCAAAUGAAUUGGUUAGGAAGGGACACGCUGUUGCUCCUGGCUCCCGGCCCUGCUGCCUGAUUUGCGUGAAUAGGUGGGAGUAGAGGGCAUUUAGUGGAACAAAAACAGGUGGGAGUUUUAAUCUGUUAUAUAUGAGUAAGUAAUACAUUUAUAGAGAUAUUUCUUGAGGGCUUGCAGCCUCUGAAAUGUGAGAUUAGCAGAGAAGAAGAAUUUAUCCAGCUAUAUAAUAAAAGCAGACCCGAGUCUUCACUCCCAACCCCAUUAACCUCGCCACGGUUUCUGUGCUUGUGGCAAUUCAGGAGGGAGAGGGACAAAAUACUGCAUGAAGAAGCUGGUGCUGCAGUGCUUGGGCACCGGGGUGCUGCUACUUUUAUCCCAGCCCAUGCAGUGCCAGGCUGCUCUUGCUGAUAGGAUCUUAUUUUUGGAACCAAGCCCUGGGCUCUGUCGUGCUCCCCCAGGUCAGGCUCACUCACGGGUUGAGACGCUGUCGGAGGUGGGAGGGCUCCUGGCUUGUUCCUUCAGGGCCACCACGGUGACAGUGUACUCCUCCCCCGGCUUCAGCCCCGUCUGGUUGAAGGUGGUGACAGUGCUGGGCAGCUGAGCAAUCACACCACCCUCGUUAUUCUGCCAGGGAGUGGAAAUAAGCAUUAAAAAAAAAACCCACAAAAAUGGUGUUUUGGGGGACUGAUGCAUGGAGAGGAGGUGCCCCCCCCCCCCCUCCACGUCACAUUCUUCCAUGGCCAGCCGUGCAUCCCCAGAUCACAUCCCACCAUGGAGGUGCAGAAACCCAGGGUGAAGUCACCCACCAAGCAGGGAGCACCCAUGUUGUUGGGCUGCAAAAUCCUUCCCCAUCGCUUCCCCCCUCAGCUUCUGUAUUUUGCCAUCUGUGUCUCUGCUGUUCUUCAGAAGGGAAGAGAGAAUAAAAACAAAGCCUUGGCUAGA
Pseudopipra pipra is the source of this 3433-nucleotide long non-coding RNA. RefSeq lists it as uncharacterized. The record is from RefSeq and is a predicted model, not a curated record. Lineage: Eukaryota; Metazoa; Chordata; Aves; Passeriformes; Pipridae. The transcript is spliced from 6 exons.